RNAcentral lists this small RNA (94 nucleotides) under Pararhodospirillum photometricum DSM 122. Its description in RNAcentral is "rpsB sRNA". It matches the Rfam family "rpsB sRNA". Lineage: Bacteria; Pseudomonadati; Pseudomonadota; Alphaproteobacteria; Rhodospirillales; Rhodospirillaceae. The record is from Rfam by way of RNAcentral.
CGCACGCGGGGAGUCGCGGCCUCACGGCCGAUCCGGUGUCUGGACCUUGUCCGACCAAUCCCCCGCGGAGGAUAAACCGGAAAACAGGAAAGUU